RNAcentral lists this transfer-messenger RNA (352 nucleotides) under Spirochaetota bacterium. RNAcentral describes it as "Spirochaetes bacterium (anaerobic digester metagenome) transfer-messenger RNA". It matches the Rfam family "transfer-messenger RNA". From Rfam's summary of the family: Bacterial tmRNA, also known as 10Sa RNA or SsrA, is named for its dual tRNA and mRNA-like properties. Its role is to liberate the mRNA from a stalled ribosome. The record is from RNAcentral. Lineage: Bacteria; Pseudomonadati; Spirochaetota.
GGGGACGAUCUUGGUUUCGACUGCAAUGGCGUGUCUACAGUUGCAUGCCGAGUUUCUGCUGGCUCGUAAAAACUGGCAGGUUAAAAUAAGUGCAAACAACGAUUUAGCACUCGCAGCUUAAUCCCUGCGGGCGUCUUUAUCGAUCCCGCUCCUCUGGGGAUGAUAAAGGCGUGAGAUACAGAGGAUAGUUAUUGAGUUUUGAUCCUGGCUCAAUAGCGAAAUUUUAAGGAUUUGCUCACUGAGGCGGGUUCCUGUUCCCCUAACCAGUGAUAAGAUAAACGAACAGGAUAAGCAUGUAGAGGCUGUAGGUGUGUGUUGCAGGACGCGGGUUCGACUCCCGCCGUCUCCAAAA